CCUACGGGAGGCAGCAGUAGGGAAUCUUCCGCAAUGGACGAAAGUCUGACGGAGCAACGCCGCGUGAGUGAUGAAGGUUUUCGGAUCGUAAAACUCUGUUGUUAGGGAGGAACAAGUACCGUUCGAAUAGGGCGGUACCUUGACGGUACCUAACCAGAAAGCCCCGGCUAACUACGUGCCAGCAGCCGCGGUAAU
RNAcentral lists this ribosomal RNA (195 nucleotides) under uncultured Bacillus sp. RNAcentral describes it as "partial 16S ribosomal RNA". It matches the Rfam family "Bacterial small subunit ribosomal RNA", at positions 338 to 524 of the family's 1533-position model. Lineage: Bacteria; Bacillati; Bacillota; Bacilli; Caryophanales; Bacillaceae. The record is from RNAcentral.